This 336-nucleotide unclassified non-coding RNA is filed under the name soil metagenome. Its description in RNAcentral is "partial contains 5.8S ribosomal RNA, internal transcribed spacer 2, and large subunit ribosomal RNA". The stretch from base 1 to 120 matches the Rfam family "5.8S ribosomal RNA", at positions 35 to 154 of the family's 154-position model. The record is from RNAcentral.
GAUGAAGAACGCAGCGAAAUGCGAUACGUAGUGUGAAUUGCAGAAUUCAGUGAAUCAUCGAAUCUUUGAACGCACAUUGCACCUCUCGGUAUUCCGGGAGGUAUGCCUGUUCGAGCGUCAUUUGUACCCUCAAGCUCUGCUUGGUGUUGGGUGUUUGUUCCGCCUCUGUGUGUGAACUCGCCUCAAAACAAUUGGCAGCCGGCGUACUUGUUUCGGAGCGCAGCACAUUUUGCGAUCCAGAUCAACGUACAGCGGCAUCCAAGAAGCCUUAUUUAACGCUCUUGACCUCGGAUCAGGUAGGGAUACCCGCUGAACUUAAGCAUAUCAAGCGGAGGA